RNAcentral lists this transfer RNA (67 nucleotides) under Hexanchus griseus. Its description in RNAcentral is "tRNA-Cys". It matches the Rfam family "tRNA". Rfam says of the family: Transfer RNA (tRNA) molecules are approximately 80 nucleotides in length. Lineage: Eukaryota; Metazoa; Chordata; Chondrichthyes; Hexanchiformes; Hexanchidae. The record is from RNAcentral.
AGCCUUGUAGUAGAGUACUACACUGGAUUGCAAAUCCAGAGACGGAGUCGAACGUCUCCCGGGGCUU